This 244-nucleotide ribosomal RNA is filed under the name uncultured bacterium. Its description in RNAcentral is "partial 16S ribosomal RNA". It matches the Rfam family "Bacterial small subunit ribosomal RNA", at positions 94 to 334 of the family's 1533-position model. The record is from RNAcentral.
AGUGGCGUACGGGAGAGUAACACGUAAGUAAUCUACCCUCGGGUGGGGGAAUAACUUAAGGAAACUUAAGCUAAUACCGCAUAAUGCAGCGGCUCCGAAUGGAGACAGUUGUUAAAGCAUUUAUGCGCCUGGGGAGGAGCUUGCGGCAGAUUAGCUAGUUGGUAAGGUAACGGCUUACCAAGGCAACGAUCUGUAGCCGGUCUAAGAGGACGGUCGGUCUCACUGACACUGAAUAACGGGUCAG